RNA transcript from Gossypium arboreum, 3328 nucleotides. It is a transcript of the gene named glyoxylate/hydroxypyruvate reductase HPR3-like, with no coding region annotated. NCBI's taxonomy places the organism in Eukaryota, Viridiplantae, Streptophyta, Magnoliopsida, Malvales, Malvaceae. The transcript has 5 exons. The record is from RefSeq and is a predicted model, not a curated record.
ACACGUACGAGCAAUCUUACUUUUACAUAUCAUUUUCUUGGGUCUUAACCCAUUGUUCGUUAGAGCACUAAUUGAAAAUCCAACUAGUCGCACUUGGCACAUUAUGCCUUCUUGGCGGCGACCCUAGUAUCUGUGUUUCCUCAAUAUCCAACUAAGCUUUCUUUCUUAUUAACUCAUUCCCUUUUAAGGGAUUUUUGCAUUACAAUUCGAUAUUGAUUACGCGCCCACGUACACGCCAUGAGCACUAGUGGGGCGAACAAUAGUUUAUCUACUUAUAAACUUUAGAGCUCGCCAUACGUCAGGCUUUACUUUACCUUGACCUCGUCUAAUCAUCGGGCCUUAUACUUAGGUCAGAGGAGUUUUUCUUUCUUCUUUAGCCCUAGAUAAAGGAAGAGACAGAAAAUAUCUUGUCCUACCUUUCUUGAGCUCUUUGAUCUGACUUAAGCUUUUAUUGGGACUUGAUAAAUUUCACAUCAAUCAUUCGGUGAUCUUAUCCAAAUCUACAAAUUUCAAGGAAACUAAUCGAGUAUUUUUCUCUUAGUUCUUAACUAUCUUAGUUCACGUUCAAUUGAUUCCUAGCUCUCUUUUCCUUAAAGCUUAACCGGCUCAAGGCCAACAUUACAGAGUGCUCUCCAAUGCUGACAUAAGCUUCUUAUUUCAAGGUUCGUUCUCUUAUAAUGGAAUUUUCCCAAACUAUGUAUGCCAAAAAAGGCUUUUGGGGCGAGUCCUCCCUUACUAGACAAAGUUCCAGUUUAUUGUGCCAUCCCAGUGUUCGCCAAUAUCAAGGCGUUAUGUACGCACUCACAUAGCUCUUAUUCUUAGAAUAGUUUUAACAGUAUUCACUUCUUCAUCUAUCAUAUCCUUCUCAUCUAUAGAACAGUACUCGAAUACUAAGACUCCGUUGGGCGAGAUGUUACAGGUCAUAUAUUACAAGGUGAGGUGAGGUGCUCUAUGUUGCAGGGUGAGAAGGAAAUGAUGACUAAGAGUUGCUUGCUCAUGGUAGUUAAGAACCCAGACAGGAGUUUUAGCCUCUUUGCUUCAUAGAAAAAGCUUUGUUCCUUGUGUUAGCACGUCUAAACAUGGGCACCAAAGAUGAGAGAGAAAUCAGAAAUGUGUAUUCGCCAGCUUAAUCUCCAGGCCCAAUUUCAACCACAUUGACCAGCAUAGAAAAAACCCCUCACAUCAUCCUGCCGCUGCCUUCACUGCAGCACGUCAUAACAGCCAGCGCAGGCGUCAAAUCACAUUGACUUGAAUAAGUGCAGGAGGCUUGACAUAGCAGUCACCAACACUGCCGGUGUGUUUUCAGCUGCUGUUGCUGUGGUUUGUUUAUUGACGUACUUAGAAAAUUUCUGCUGCUGGUCGGUACGUUAGACAUGGUCUUUGGUCCGCCGAAGGAGACUAUCCUGUUGGUUCGAAGUCGCUCGUUGAUCUUUCGGCAUGACUACCACGCAUUCUGUUGACUCUUAUUCGGUUGAGCUGAGUGGCUCUGUGUUUACUGGUGAUCGGAUCAUCAUUUCGUUUCCUCGACACGAGGUGGUGAAGCUUGACGAGGGCACCUUUGUUCAAUGGCAACAGCAGGUGAGGUUCAUUCUUGCGGUUAUGACUUAGCUGGAUUUCUUGAUGGUACCGUAUCUGCUCCGAUGCGGUUUAUUCAAGCACCUGAUGGAGGUCUUGUUCCAAAUUCGUUUGCCGCGAUUUUCACUCAACAAGAUAACCUCCUCACCUCGUGGUUACUUUCCAUGAUUAGUUCGUCGUUUCUAUCUUCUUUCACGGAUGUACAGACCGCGAGUGAUGUGUGGCUGACGGCGACUAGUUUGUUUGCGGCUGACACUAGUGCGAAGUAGUCUCAGCUUCGUCACGAGUUGCAUUCCCUCAAGAAAGGUAGUCUUUCUAUCCGAAACUAUGUUGACAAAACAAAAGGGUUAUGUGCUCUUCUUGCAAUGUCUGGUUCUUGGAUUCUGGAGGCCGAAAGAAUAGCAGUCAUGCUUGCAGGGCUGCCUUCCGAGUUUGAUGGCUCUGUUGCCGUUUCAGCGUUUGGUUGAUGCACUUAUUGAGUGCGAGGCUCGUUAGGCGAGGAACGUUGAAGAAGUUUUGUUUGCUGCGAAUCUGGUGGAAGGAUCACAGUCGCAAGUGGUGGAUGGAUCUCGUGGUGGUCGUCCGCCUGCUCGUGGUCGCGAAAGGGGCUUUCGUUCGCAUCUCCAAUGUCAGAUCUGUGGAUAGUAUGGUCAUCUAGCACAAAGGUGCUAUUAUCGAUACCAUCGUGAUGAGACGUCGCCGGUGAUGACUCUGGUGCCGCAACAAGGUGGUCUGUCUUCUGGGUACCCUUCAUCUCAAGAAGCUUUUGGGGGAGAUGGUUGGAUCGCUCAACAUCCCCAACACCCUAGAGUUGGAUAUGAAGUCGGUCAAAAUUGGGGUGCUGGUCAAAUUUUUUUUCAAGAGCCAAAGGAAUUUAAUCAUUGUAUUCGGCCGAAUAGUGGGGUGCUAGGCAUGUUUGCUUGUGAGCCAUGUGCAACAAAUGUGCCACUUGGGGCAUGGUUUUCAUGGCCACAUGGUAGUAGAUCGAGCAAUGAUGGGCCUAUUUUUGGACUUCAAAGGCCGAAUGAACCUGUUACUAACAAUGUGCAGUUUGGUUUGAAGCCGAUUGGUGGUCAAUCGGCAAUUCCUUGGCACAUUAAGCCGCGAGCUCGUGUUUACUGCGGGUCUGAUCCGUGCAUCAGGCUUCCUCGUUACCGAUAGGUACCACGUCGUGGUAUCUCGAUUCAAGUGCCAGCAAUCAUGGCUGUAGGGAUUCGUCCGCUCUGAAUGAUGCUACCCCGUAUUAAGGUAAAAAUCUACUAUCUGUAUCUCAGUUUGCCACUGACAAUGGUGUGUUUUUUGAAUUUCACUCAACAUAUUGUGUUAUUAAGGACAGCGUGACACGAGAAAUCUUGCUGAAGGGUCAAAUUCGUGAUGGGCUGUAUCGUUUUUCCUUACCAGGAACGUCUGUUUAAAAUGGCGUGGCUCACAAUAUUGUAGCUCCUUUUAUUGCUCACGUGGGAAUUCAGAGAUAGAUUGGUACAAAUGAUAUUUUUUUGUUGUGGCACAAAUGUCUUGGGCAUCCGUCCGUGUCGAUUGUCAAAUAUGUUUUUAAUAAGUGUCAUAUUAAUGUCAAUAAAGUUUCUCUUGAUAAUGUUUGCCUUGCUUGUAAAAAAGGAAAGUUUCAUAAGUCGUCUUUUUUCUGAUUCGACUACUAAGUAUAGUGAUCCUUUUGCUUUGGUUGUAUCGGAUCUUUGGGGACCUGCGCCCGUUGCUUAUGAUAAUAACUAGUACUAUGUGACGUUUAUUGAUA